AACGAACGCUGGCGGCAGGCUUAACACAUGCAAGUCGAGCGAGACCUUCGGGUCUAGCGGCGGACGGGUGAGUAACGCGUGGGAACGUGCCCUUCUCUACGGAAUAGCCCCGGGAAACUGGGAGUAAUACCGUAUACGCCCUUUGGGGGAAAGAUUUAUCGGAGAAGGAUCGGCCCGCGUUGGAUUAGGUAGUUGGUGGGGUAAUGGCCCACCAAGCCGACGAUCCAUAGCUGGUUUGAGAGGAUGAUCAGCCACACUGGGACUGAGACACGGCCCAGACUCCUACGGGAGGCAGCAGUGGGGAAUCUUAGACAAUGGGGGCAACCCUGAUCUAGCCAUGCCGCGUGAGUGAUGAAGGCCUUAGGGUUGUAAAGCUCCUUCAGCUGGGAAGAUAAUGACGGUACCAGCAGAAGAAGCCCCGGCUAACUCCGUG
RNAcentral lists this ribosomal RNA (433 nucleotides) under uncultured bacterium. Its description in RNAcentral is "partial 16S ribosomal RNA". It matches the Rfam family "Bacterial small subunit ribosomal RNA", at positions 29 to 507 of the family's 1533-position model. The record is from RNAcentral.